UACGUAGGGGGCGAGCGUUGUCCGGAAUCAUCGGGCGUAAAGCGCGUGUAGGCGGCCCGGUAAGUCCGCUGUGAAAGUCCAGGGCUCAACCCUGGGAUGCCGGUGGAUACUGUCGGGCUCGAGUCCGGAAGAGGCGAGUGGAAUUCCUGGUGUAGCGGUGAAAUGCGCAGAUAUCAGGAGGAACACCAAUGGCGAAGGCAGCUCGCUGGGACGUGACUGACGCUGAGACGCGAAAGCGUGGGGAGCAAACAGG
RNAcentral lists this ribosomal RNA (253 nucleotides) under uncultured bacterium. Its description in RNAcentral is "partial 16S ribosomal RNA". It matches the Rfam family "Bacterial small subunit ribosomal RNA", at positions 524 to 776 of the family's 1533-position model. The record is from RNAcentral.